ACUCCUACGGGAGGCAGCAGUAGGGAAUAUUGCGCAAUGGACGAAAGUCUGACGCAGCCACGCCGCGUGAGUGAGGAAGGCCUUCGGGUUGUAAAGCUCUGUCGCCUGGGAAAAACGGCUAUUGGGGGAAAGUUCCAGUAGCGUGAUGGUACCAGGAGAGGAAGCACCGGCAAACUCUGUGCCAGCAGCCGCGGUAAUACAGAGGGUGCAAGCGUUGUUCGGAAUUACUGGGCGUAAAGCGUGCGUAGUCGGUAUUGAGAGUCGCGGGUGAAAUCCCAGGGCUUAACCCUGGAACUGCCUGCGAGACCUCAGUACUAGAGUGUGAGAGGGGAUAGUGGAAUACCCAGUGUAGCGGUGAAAUGCGUAGAGAUUGGGUGGAACACCGGUGGCGAAGGCGGCUAUCUGGCUCACAACUGACGAUCAGGCACGAAAGCGUGGGGAGCAAACAGGAUUAGAUACCCUGGUAGCACAGAG
RNAcentral lists this ribosomal RNA (474 nucleotides) under uncultured bacterium. Its description in RNAcentral is "bacterial SSU rRNA". It matches the Rfam family "Bacterial small subunit ribosomal RNA", at positions 335 to 799 of the family's 1533-position model. The record is from RNAcentral.